GAUGAACGCUGGCGGCGUGCUUAAUACAUGCAAGUCGAACGGAGAAUAGCAAUACUCUCAGUGGCGAACGGGCGAGUAACGAGUUGGUGACCUGCCCCGAAGUGUGGGAUAACAGUCCGAAAGGAUUGCUAAUACCGCAUGUGAUCAUUGGAUUUAGAAACUGAUGAUUAAAGCAGUAAUGCGCUUCGGGAGGACCUGCUUCCCAUCAGCUAGUUGGUGAGGUAAUGGCCCACCAAGGCUACGACGGGUAAGGGACCUGAGAGGGUGGUCCCUCGCAAUGGCACUGAAACACGGGCCAUACACCUACGGGUGGCAGCAGUAGGGAAUAUUGGGCAAUGGGCGAAAGCCUGACCCAGCAACGCCGCGUGCACGAUGAAGGCCUUCGGGUCGUAAAGUGCUUUUCUGAGGAAUGAGUAA
Molecule: ribosomal RNA, 417 nt
Filed under: uncultured bacterium
Lineage: Bacteria
Description: bacterial SSU rRNA
Rfam family: Bacterial small subunit ribosomal RNA
Source: RNAcentral